GAUGAACGCUGGCGGCGUGCCUAAUACAUGCAAGUCGAGCGAACAGAUGAGGAGCUUGCUCCUCUGACGUUAGCGGCGGACGGGUGAGUAACACGUGGAUAACCUACCUAUAAGACUGGGAUAACUUCGGGAAACCGGAGCUAAUACCGGAUAAUAUAUUGAACCGCAUGGUUCAAUAGUGAAAGACGGUUUUGCUGUCACUUAUAGAUGGAUCCGCGCCGCAUUAGCUAGUUGGUAAGGUAACGGCUUACCAAGGCAACGAUGCGUAGCCGACCUGAGAGGGUGAUCGGCCACACUGGAACUGAGACACGGUCCAGACUCCUACGGGAGGCAGCAGUAGGAAAUCUUCCGCAAUGGGCGAAAGCCUGACGGAGCAACGCCGCGUGAGUGAUGAAGGUCUUCGGAUCGUAAAACUCUGUUAUUAGGGAAGAACAAAUGUGUAAGUAACAAUGCACGUCUGGACGGUACCUAAUCAGAAAGCCACGGCGAACUACGU
RNAcentral lists this ribosomal RNA (496 nucleotides) under uncultured bacterium. Its description in RNAcentral is "partial 16S ribosomal RNA". It matches the Rfam family "Bacterial small subunit ribosomal RNA", at positions 28 to 506 of the family's 1533-position model. The record is from RNAcentral.